GAUGAACGCUGGCGGCGUGCCUAAUACAUGCAAGUCGAGCGAACAGAUGAGGAGCUUGCUCCUCUGACGUUAGCGGCGGACGGGUGAGUAACACGUGGAUAACCUACCUAUAAGACUGGGAUAACUUCGGGAAACCGGAGCUAAUACCGGAUAAUAUAUUGAACCGCAUGGUUCAAUAGUGAAAGACGGUUUUGCUGUCACUUAUAGAUGGAUCCGCGCCGCAUUAGCUAGUUGGUAAGGUAACGGCUUACCAAGGCAACGAUGCGUAGCCGACCUGAGAGGGUGAGCAGCCACACUGGAACUGAGACACGGUCCAGACUCCUACGGGAGGCAGCAGUAGGGAAUCUUCCGCAAUGGGCGAAAGCCUGACGGAGCAACGCCGCGUGAGUGAUGAAGGUCUUCGGAUCGUAAAACUCUGUUAUUAGGGAAGAACAAAUGUGUAAGUAACUAUGCACGUCUUGACGGUACCUAAUCAGAAAGCCACGGCUAACUACGUG
RNAcentral lists this ribosomal RNA (497 nucleotides) under uncultured bacterium. Its description in RNAcentral is "partial 16S ribosomal RNA". It matches the Rfam family "Bacterial small subunit ribosomal RNA", at positions 28 to 507 of the family's 1533-position model. The record is from RNAcentral.